Molecule: ribosomal RNA, 486 nt
Filed under: Pseudomonas aeruginosa
Lineage: Bacteria; Pseudomonadati; Pseudomonadota; Gammaproteobacteria; Pseudomonadales; Pseudomonadaceae
Description: bacterial SSU rRNA
Rfam family: Bacterial small subunit ribosomal RNA
Source: RNAcentral
UGAAAUGCGUAGAGAUCUGGAGGAAUACCGGUGGCGAAGGCGGCCCCCUGGACAAAGACUGACGCUCAGGUGCGAAAGCGUGGGGAGCAAACAGGAUUAGAUACCCUGGUAGUCCACGCCGUAAACGAUGUCGAUUUGGAGGUUGUGCCCUUGAGGCGUGGCUUCCGGAGCUAACGCGUUAAAUCGACCGCCUGGGGAGUACGGCCGCAAGGUUAAAACUCAAAUGAAUUGACGGGGGCCCGCACAAGCGGUGGAGCAUGUGGUUUAAUUCGAUGCAACGCGAAGAACCUUACCUGGUCUUGACAUCCACAGAACUUUCCAGAGAUGGAUUGGUGCCUUCGGGAACUGUGAGACAGGUGCUGCAUGGCUGUCGUCAGCUCGUGUUGUGAAAUGUUGGGUUAAGUCCCGCAACGAGCGCAACCCUUAUCCUUUGUUGCCAGCGGUCCGGCCGGGAACUCAAAGGAGACUGCCAGUGAUAAACUGGAG